UGGAGUGAAUGAUAUCGGCUUGGUCCUGGGCCGAGACCCUGGGCCGCUCUGUGGCGUGCGGCCAUCACUGGGGUCCGGUGGCGAGCAGGGGACAGGGCUGUAGUGGAACUGCGCGUCCUCGUGUGCCACUCGUGGGCUCCUGAACGGACUUGGUGUCCCGCUCCAGACUGACUCAUAAAGCAAGUCUUCCUGCCGAGGUGCCAAGGUCUUCAAUUCUUAUCCAGCUGGAAAGUGAGGCAGCUUCUCAUUACUCUCCGUUGAGCGGGACACAAGAGGCUCCGUCCUGGGUUAGCAUGCAGAGACGGAGAGGAAGAACAGAGAGGUGAAUGAGAGCUGCAGAUCUGAAUUUAUAGAGCUAAGAAAAUGGCUGAAAGAGAGGAAGUUUGAAGAUACAGGCUUAUUAGUACCUGCCUGCUUUCCAGGUGGAAGCCUCCGGUGUCUCCUCUGCUGGCUUUGUGUACCUUUUUGGUCUCAGAAAGACAUGCAGGCAGUCAUUCCCUCUGGAAGUCUUACCUGGACAUUUUACCCAAGUCAUAUACCUGCCCGGUGUGCUUGGAGCCAGAAGUGGUGGAUCUUCUUCCGGGACCUUUGAGGGCGAAGGCGGAAGAGCAGAGAGCCCGCGUGCAGGAUUUGUUUGCCUCCUCUAGAGACUUCUUCUCUACCCUGCAGCCUCUGUUUGCAGAGUCUGUGGACAGCAUUUUCAGCUACCAUGCCUUCCUCUGGGCCUGGUGCACAGUGAACACCAGAGCUGUGUACCUGAAGUCUAGGAGGCAGGAGUGCCUUUC
Molecule: long non-coding RNA, 785 nt
Filed under: Rattus norvegicus (Norway rat)
Lineage: Eukaryota; Metazoa; Chordata; Mammalia; Rodentia; Muridae
Description: long non-coding RNA NONRATT006893
Source: RNAcentral